GGCAUGCCUUACACAUGCAAGUCGAACGGUAACAGGUCUUCGGACGCUGACGAGUGGCGAACGGGUGAGUAAUACAUCGGAACGUGCCCAGUCGUGGGGGAUAACUACUCGAAAGAGUAGCUAAUACCGCAUACGAUCUGAGGAUGAAAGCGGGGGACCUUCGGGCCU
Molecule: ribosomal RNA, 168 nt
Filed under: Delftia acidovorans
Lineage: Bacteria; Pseudomonadati; Pseudomonadota; Betaproteobacteria; Burkholderiales; Comamonadaceae
Description: partial 16S ribosomal RNA
Rfam family: Bacterial small subunit ribosomal RNA
Source: RNAcentral